GACGAACGCUGGCGGCGUGCUUAACACAUGCAAGUCGAGCGGAGCGGCGAACGGGUGAGUAACGCGUGAGUAACUGCCCCCCUCUCUGGGAUAACAGAUGGAAACGGCUGCUAAUACCGGAUAGUGGGGGAUGACUCGCGUCCUAUCGGCUUGUUGGUGGGGUAGUGGCCUACCAAGGCGACGACGGGUAGCCGGCCUGGGAGGGCGACCGGCCACAUUGGGCUGAGGUACGGCCCAGACUCCUACGGGAGGCAACGGUGGCGAAUAUUGCGCAAUGGGGGAGCGCCUGUUGCAGCAACGCCGCGGGCGGAAGGACGGCCUUCGGGUUGUAAACCGCUUUCAGCCAUGACGCGGUAGUGGCAGAAGAAGCACCGGCUAACUACGUGCCAGCAGCCGCGGUAAUAC
RNAcentral lists this ribosomal RNA (405 nucleotides) under uncultured bacterium. Its description in RNAcentral is "partial 16S ribosomal RNA". It matches the Rfam family "Bacterial small subunit ribosomal RNA", at positions 28 to 526 of the family's 1533-position model. The record is from RNAcentral.